UGGGGAAUAUUGCGCAAUGGGCGAAAGCCUGACGCAGCGACGCCGCGUGGAGGAUGAAGGUCUUAGGAUUGUAAACUCCUGUCAGAUGGAAAGAAAAGCUUACUAUCAAAUAAAUAGUAGGUAUGACGGUACCAUCAGAGGAAGCACCGGCUAACUUCGUGCCAGCAGCCGCGGUAAUACGAAGGGUGCGAGCGUUAUUCGAAAUUACUGGGCGUAAAGGGUGCGUAGGCGGUAUGUUAAGUUUGUUGUUAAAGACUCCGGCCUAACCGGAGAGCUGCAAUGAAAACUGGCGUGCUAGAGGAUGAGAGAGAGAAGUGGAAUUCCCGGAGUAGCGGUAAAAUGCGUGGAUCUCGGGAGGAACACCAAUGGCGAAAGCAGCUUCUUGGCUCAUUUCUGACGUUGAGGCACGAAAGCGUGGGGAGCAAACAGGAUUAGAUACCCGUGUAGUCC
RNAcentral lists this ribosomal RNA (450 nucleotides) under uncultured bacterium. Its description in RNAcentral is "bacterial SSU rRNA". It matches the Rfam family "Bacterial small subunit ribosomal RNA", at positions 355 to 796 of the family's 1533-position model. The record is from RNAcentral.